Molecule: ribosomal RNA, 440 nt
Filed under: uncultured bacterium
Lineage: Bacteria
Description: partial 16S ribosomal RNA
Rfam family: Bacterial small subunit ribosomal RNA
Source: RNAcentral
CCUACGGGAGGCAGCAGUGGGGAAUAUUGCACAAUGGGGGAAACCCUGAUGCAGCGACGCCGCGUGAGUGAAGAAGUAUCUCGGUACGUAAAGCUCUAUCAGCAGGGAAGAAAAUGACGGUACCUGACUAAGAAGCCCCGGCUAACUACGUGACAGCAGCCGCGGUAAUACGUAGGGGGAAAGCGUUAUCCGGAUUUACGGGGUGUAAAGGGAGCGUAGACGGGAGCACAAGUCUGGGGUGAAAUCCCGGGGCUUAACCCCGGAACUGCUUUGGAAACUGUGCGGCUGGAGUGCAGGAGGGGUAAGCGGAAUUCCUGGUGUAGCGGUGAAAUGCGUAGAUAUUAGGAGGAACACCGGUGGCGAAGGCGGCUUACUGGACUGUAACUGACGUUGAGGCUCGAAAGCGUGGGGAGCAAACAGGAUUAGAUACCCCAGUAGUC